UUUAACGGCCGCGGUAUUUUGACUGUGCUAAGGUAGCAUAAUCAUUAGUUUUUUAAUUGAAAGCUGGAAUGAAAGGUUUGAUGAAAAAAUAGCUGUCUCAAUCUAAGAAUUUUGAAUUUUAUUUUUAAGUUAAAAAGCUUAAAUUUUUAUAAAAGACGAGAAGACCCCAUAGAGUUUAAUAUUUAUUUAUAAAAUAAAAUAUGGAAAUAUAAAUUUAUUUUAGUAAAAAAGUAUUUGAUUGGGGUGAUUGAAAAAUUUAAUUAACUUUUUUUAUUUCUAAUUUCAUUAAUAAGUGAAAAAAAAUGAUCCUUUUUUUAAGAUUAAAAGAAAAAUUACCUUGGGGAUAACAGCGUAAUUUUUUCUUAGAGUCCUAAUCGAAGCAAAAA
Molecule: ribosomal RNA, 386 nt
Filed under: Ips nitidus
Lineage: Eukaryota; Metazoa; Arthropoda; Insecta; Coleoptera; Curculionidae
Description: partial 16S ribosomal RNA
Source: RNAcentral